GGGUUCUGCCUGCCCAGUGACGUAGUUAAACGGCCGCGGUAUUUUGACCGUGCAAAGGUAGCAUAAUCAUUUGCCUUUUAAAUGGAGGCUGGUAUGAAUGGCAAGACGGAAAUUUAGCUGUCUCUCUUUUAGUAUCUUGAAUUUAAUAUCUUUGUGAAGAAGCGAAGAUAAGUUCGUAGGACGAGAAGACCCUAUUGAGCUUAAGUUAAAAUUAUUAGCAUAAUAGUUUUAUUUUUAGGCUAAUUAAAAAUAAUAGUAAUUUUAUCUUAAAAUAAAAGGAUGGCUGUUUAAUUGUACUUUGGUUGGGGCAAUCGCGGAGAAAAUUAAUCCUCCGAUAUAAAUUUGAAGUCAAAAAUUACUAUUUUAAAGUAAUAAUUAAAUUAUAUAAAAAUGAUCCACUUGUAUAAAGUGAUCAAAGGAAUAAGUUACCAUAGGGAUAACAGCGUAAUUUUUUUGGAGAGUUCAUAUUGAUAAAAAAGUUUGCGACCUCGAUGUUGGAUCGGGACUUCCAGGAGAUGCAGCAGUUUCCAAAGGUUGGUCUGUUCGACCA
RNAcentral lists this ribosomal RNA (550 nucleotides) under Odontaster penicillatus. RNAcentral describes it as "partial 16S ribosomal RNA". It matches the Rfam family "Bacterial large subunit ribosomal RNA", at positions 1850 to 2587 of the family's 2925-position model. The record is from RNAcentral. Lineage: Eukaryota; Metazoa; Echinodermata; Asteroidea; Valvatida; Odontasteridae.